UUAUCAAAAACAUGUCUUUUUGAAUUUAUUUAAAGUCUAACCUGCCCAUUGAUAAUUUUAAAAGGCUGCGGUAUUUUGACCGUACAAAGGUAGCAUAAUCAUUAGUUUUUUAAUUGAAAACUUGUAUGAAUGGUUUAAUGAGAUAUAUACUGUUUCAUAAAAAAUUAAAUAAAAUUUUAUUUUUUAGUUAAAAAGCUUAAAUAAAAUUAUAGGACGAGAAGACCCUAUAGAAUUUAAUAAUUUAAUUAAAUUAUUUAAUUUAUAUUAAUUUGUUAUAUUUUAUUUAAAUUAUUUUGUUGGGGUGAUAGUAAAAUUUAAUUAUCUUUUAUUUAUUUAAUACAAUAAUAUUUGAUUAAUUGAUCCAAUUUUAUUGAUUAUAAGAUUAAUUCUCUUAGGGAUAACAGCGUAAUUUUUU
RNAcentral lists this ribosomal RNA (415 nucleotides) under Azana sp. ER-2009. RNAcentral's name for it is "partial 16S ribosomal RNA". Lineage: Eukaryota; Metazoa; Arthropoda; Insecta; Diptera; Mycetophilidae. The record is from RNAcentral.